CGCACAUUGCGCCCCGUGGUAUUCCGCGGGGCAUGCCUGUUCGAGCGUCAUUUCACCACUCAAGCCUCGCUUGGUAUUGGGCGACGCGGUCCGCCGCGCGCCUCAAAUCGACCGGCUGGGUCGAUCGCACCCUCAGCGUUGUGGAAACUAUUCGCUAAAGGAGUUGUGGUCGGUCACGCCGUGAAACAAACCAAUCUUUCAACGGUUGACCUCGGAUCAGGUAGGGAUACCCGCUGAACUUAA
This 243-nucleotide unclassified non-coding RNA is filed under the name Toxicocladosporium irritans. Its description in RNAcentral is "partial contains 5.8S ribosomal RNA, internal transcribed spacer 2, and large subunit ribosomal RNA". Lineage: Eukaryota; Fungi; Ascomycota; Dothideomycetes; Cladosporiales; Cladosporiaceae. The record is from RNAcentral.